GACGAACGCUGGCGGCGUGCCUAACACAUGCAAGUCGAACGGAGAUAUGAUUUCGGUUGUAUCUUAGUGGCGAACGGUGAGUAACGCGUGAACAACCUGACUCUAAGAGGGGGAUAACACUCGGAAACGGGUGCUAAUACCGCAUAAGACCACGACCUGGCAUCAGGAUGAGGUCAAAGGAGCAAUCCGCUGAGAGAGGGGUUCGCGUCCAUUAGAUAGAUGGCGGGGUAACGGCCCACCAUGUCAACGAUGGGUAGCCGAGCUGAGAGGCUGAUCGGCCGCACUGGAACUGAGACACGGUCCAGACUCCUACGGGAGGCAGCAGUGGGGAAUAUUGGGCAAUGGGCGCAAGCCUGACCCAGCAACGCCGCGUGAGGGAAGAAGGCUUUCGGGUUGUAAACCUCUGUCCUUGGUGACGAAACAAAUGACGGUAGCCAAGGAGGAAGCCCCGGCUAACUACGUGCCAGCAGCCGCGGUAAU
RNAcentral lists this ribosomal RNA (480 nucleotides) under uncultured bacterium. Its description in RNAcentral is "bacterial SSU rRNA". It matches the Rfam family "Bacterial small subunit ribosomal RNA", at positions 28 to 524 of the family's 1533-position model. The record is from RNAcentral.